ACUCCUACGGGAGGCAGCAGUGGGGAAUUUUGGACAAUGGGGGCAACCCUGAUCCAGCAAUGCCGCGUGUGUGAAGAAGGCCUUCGGGUUGUAAAGCACUUUUGUCAGGAACGAAACGGUGGGGGCUAAUACCUUCUGCUAAUGACGGUACCUGAAGAAUAAGCACCGGCUAACUACGUGCCAGCAGCCGCGGUAAU
Molecule: ribosomal RNA, 197 nt
Filed under: uncultured bacterium
Lineage: Bacteria
Description: partial 16S ribosomal RNA
Rfam family: Bacterial small subunit ribosomal RNA
Source: RNAcentral